UACUGUAACUUUUACAGAAUACAGAACCCAAUCUCCAUCAAAAUCCCAAAUCCCCAGAGCCGCCUCCUCUCUCAAAAACCCUAAAUUGCUAAAUCUCAAAAAACCUAGAAACCAAAUCGUGUCAACUGGAUGGGCGAAGGGCGAUCUCUUGCGAGCGUCGCCACAUCAUUCCGCUCAAAAACUGGGUUCCCUGUUCGUCCUCGAUGCCCAGAGCUCCUCCGUGAAAUCGCCGGCGAACCAUCGUCUCCAUGAAGGGUUUAGCAAUUGGACUACCAUCCGCGGAUCAUUGCAUGCAAGAAAUCAGGAAGUAAGCUAUCGGUUUUAAGUGGGCAGAUACUGCAAACAAGGUUGUAUAAGGCUCAAGAAACAAGAGGUACAGAGAUGUUUAAACUUGUGUAACUGACGGUGAAUCCUCUGUCCAUUUUGAGAAGAAAAUGAAGGUACUCGGACUGAAUAAGUGAACAUUGACAUCUCAUUCAGUGUUUUGGAUUUCCAAGGAGGUGAAUGGUACAAUUUGACUGCAUCAAGCUGAAUAAACCGCCUCCGAAAUCAUUUUAUCUCCCAUGCAAGCGAUCAAGUAAAGAUGGAGAACCAGACACUACUCCAGCUUUUUGUGAUGAAUCAAGCAGCAGACAUCCCAAGAAAGCUAGGUGUAGCUAGCAGAGAAGAGUGAUUUUGACCUAAACAGCAUCUAUGAUUCUAAUUUAUGGGGAGGAGACAUGAGACCUCUCAAAAGAAGAGUUAAAAGACAAAGCAAGUUUGAGACUCUCUCUAAUUUUUACAUAUUCCACAUGGAUUUACCUAACUCUAAUUUGUAUAUUUCAUUUAUUCUGUUUAUAUUCUAUAUUGGUCAUUAACUUUUCUGCUCCUGUUAGCAAUAAUAUUAUUUUCAUUUUUGUAAGCAUUUUAAUUAGCCUGACAUUUCCCCUCAGCUCCUUGAUGCUUUCUAAAGCUUUUCUUUUUGUCUUACUUUUUUUUAGAUUAAUCCUUUAGCUGUACAUAUACCCAUGUCUUGUUAGUGUCUAGUUCAUCAUUUAGCGCUUUCUUUGGUCACUGCCGUCUCAUAAUUUUUUGUUUCUCGGAAUUAGUGUUAAUCUUGAAAUUUCUUU
Asparagus officinalis (garden asparagus) is the source of this 1109-nucleotide long non-coding RNA. RefSeq lists it as uncharacterized. NCBI's taxonomy places the organism in Eukaryota, Viridiplantae, Streptophyta, Magnoliopsida, Asparagales, Asparagaceae. The record is from RefSeq and is a predicted model, not a curated record. The transcript has 5 exons.